CCUACGGGAGGCAGCAGUCGGGAAUCUUGCGCAAUGGAGGAAAGUCUGACGGAGUGACGCCGCGUAUAGGAAGAAGUUUUUCGGAAUGUAAACUAUUGUUGGUAGGGAAGAGAAAGGAAAGUACCUAAGGAGCAAGCUUCGGCGAAAUACGUUCCAGCAGCCGCGGUAAUACGUAGGGCGCGAGCGUUGUCCUGAAUUAUGGGGUGGACAGGGUGCGUAGAUGGGAAAGUAAGUUUGUUGUGAAAGACCUCGGCUUAACUGGGGAAUUGCAUCUAAAACUACUUGUCUUGAGUGCAGGAGAGGUAAGUGGAACUCCAAGUGUAGCGGUGAAAUGCGUAGAUAGAAGGAAGAACACCAGUGGCGAAGGCGACUCUCUGGACUGUAACUGACGUUGAGGCUCGAAAGUAUGGGGAGCAAACAGGAUUAGAUACCCGAGUAGUC
This 441-nucleotide ribosomal RNA is filed under the name uncultured bacterium. RNAcentral describes it as "partial 16S ribosomal RNA". It matches the Rfam family "Bacterial small subunit ribosomal RNA", at positions 338 to 795 of the family's 1533-position model. The record is from RNAcentral.